RNAcentral lists this ribosomal RNA (492 nucleotides) under uncultured bacterium. RNAcentral's name for it is "partial 16S ribosomal RNA". It matches the Rfam family "Bacterial small subunit ribosomal RNA", at positions 28 to 507 of the family's 1533-position model. The record is from RNAcentral.
AGUGAACGCUGGCGGCAUGCUUUACACAUGCAAGUCGAACGGCAGCGCGGUCUUCGCCUUCGCUGCGGGGGGGCGAGGGGCGGGCAAGUCAGGGGUACAUCGCCAGCUACUUUUGCGAGGGGGGUGACGUCGGGAAACUUACCCUAAUACCGCAUACGACCUACGGGUGGGAGCAGGGGAUCUUCGGCCCUUGCGCGAGUGAAUGAGCCGAUGUCGGAUUAGCUAGUUGGCGGGGUAAAGGCCUACCAAGGCGACGAUCGGUAGCUGGUCUGAGAGGAUGAUCAGCCACACUGGAACUGAGACACGGCCCAGACUCCUACGGGAGGCAGCAGUGGGGAAUUUUGGACAAUGGGCGCAAGCCUGAUCCAGCCAUGCCGCGUGUGUGAUGAAGGCCUUCGGGUUGUAAAGCACUUUUGGCGGGAAAGAAAAGGAGUGGGUUAAUACCACGGUGCGAUGACGGUACCCGAAGAAUAAGCACCGGCUAACUACGUG